GACGAACCGUCCGAACGUUAUUCGGAAUCACUGGGCUUAAAGAGUGCGUAGGCGGCUUAUCAGGCGGGGUGUGAAAUCCCUCGGCCCAACCGAGGAAUUGCGCUCCGAACCGAUAGGCUUGAGGAGGAUAGAGGUAAGCGGAACAUAUGGUGGAGCGGUGAAAUGCGUUGAUAUCAUCUGGAACACCUGUGGCGAAAGCGGCUUACUGGGUCCUUUCUGACGCUGAGGCACGAAAGCCAGGGUAGCGAACGGG
This 253-nucleotide ribosomal RNA is filed under the name uncultured bacterium. Its description in RNAcentral is "partial 16S ribosomal RNA". It matches the Rfam family "Bacterial small subunit ribosomal RNA", at positions 524 to 776 of the family's 1533-position model. The record is from RNAcentral.